AGAAUCGUACUUCACAGGAUCAUUUCUGUAGUAUGUUUUCUCACACUUGACAUUUAACAGUCGAGUUGGUUGCAACCACGAUGAUGAGUUAUAGCAACUUCCUCUGAGCGUGAGGCAGAUUCGAAGACGCCGCAAGGUGUUUGAGAAUCAUCGAUGAUCGUUCGGAUUCAGGCAACUGAAUUUGAGGAGGGAGUUGCGUUCCGAGUGGU
RNAcentral lists this small nucleolar RNA (209 nucleotides) under Zootermopsis nevadensis. Its description in RNAcentral is "small nucleolar RNA U3". It matches the Rfam family "Small nucleolar RNA U3". From Rfam's summary of the family: Small nucleolar RNAs (snoRNAs) are involved in the processing and modification of rRNA in the nucleolus. The record is from Rfam by way of RNAcentral. Lineage: Eukaryota; Metazoa; Arthropoda; Insecta; Blattodea; Termopsidae.